Long non-coding RNA from Cynara cardunculus var. scolymus (artichoke), 441 nucleotides. RefSeq lists it as uncharacterized. The transcript is spliced from 2 exons. Lineage: Eukaryota; Viridiplantae; Streptophyta; Magnoliopsida; Asterales; Asteraceae. The record is from RefSeq and is a predicted model, not a curated record.
CGGGAGACUGGUGAUCGCAAAUGGCACGAUUUUUAUCUCCAUAGGGUUUCGCAUCAUCUGGGGUUGGAUGCUAAACCCUAUCAUAAUUUCGGAAGCAAUCGCCAGAGGCCGAUGAACACACACGAAUUGCGUAUACUGAUCUUCGUUCAAUUACCUUAGAAUUUACUUCUUUAACUUUUUCGAUGGUUGAAUUGUGUUGGUUUCAUCAAUUUCUUACAUGUUUGCAUACAUUGAAGCUAUAUGAGUAAUCCAGCAUCGAGUGAAUGUGUUGAGAGUCACAUUUGUGCAUAACUUCAUGCCUUUCUGUAGAAAAAUUGAAGCAGUAAAUUGCAUUUUUUUCAAUGUUUGAUGUUGAAGUUCUCUCUAACCCUUCAAAUUUACAAGGUUAAUAGAUGUGAUAGAUUUGGGGAUCUUAUGCUAUGUAAUUUUUGGGAUUACAGU